This 422-nucleotide ribosomal RNA is filed under the name uncultured bacterium. RNAcentral's name for it is "partial 16S ribosomal RNA". It matches the Rfam family "Bacterial small subunit ribosomal RNA", at positions 355 to 769 of the family's 1533-position model. The record is from RNAcentral.
UGGGGAAUUUUGGACAAUGGGCGAAAGCCUGAUCCAGCAAUGCCGCGUGUGUGAAGAAGGCCUUCGGGUUGUAAAGCACUUUUGUCCGGAAAGAAAUCCUUGGCUCUAAUACAGUCGGGGGAUGACGGUACCGGAAGAAUAAGCACCGGCUAACUACGUGCCAGCAGCCGCGGUAAUACGUAGGGUGCAAGCGUUAAUCGGAAUUACUGGGCGUAAAGCGUGCGCAGGCGGUUUGCUAAGGCCGAUGUGAAAUCCCCGGGCUCAACCUGGGAACUGCAUUGGUGACUGGCAGGCUAGAGUAUGGCAGAGGGGGGUAGAAUUCCACGUGUAGCAGUGAAAUGCGUAGAGAUGUGGAGGAAUACCGAUGGCGAAGGCAGCCCCCUGGGCCAAUACUGACGCUCAUGCACGAAAGCGUGGGGAGC